AUGCAUGCUGGCGGCGUGCCUCACCCAUGCCAGUCGAGCGGCAGCGAGGGGUGCUUGCACCCUGUCGGCGAGCGGCGAACGGCUGAGUAACGCGUAGGAAUUUGCCCCAAAGUGAGGAAUAACUGCCCGAAAGGGUAGCUAAUGCCGCAUAUGGUCUUCGGAUUAAAGGAUUUAUCCGCUUUGGGAGAAGCCUGCGUUGGAUUAGGUUGUUGGUAGGGUAAUGGCCUACCAAGCCGACGAUCCAUAGCUGGUCUGAGAGGAUGAUCAGCCAGACUGGAACUGAGACACGGUCCAGACUCCUACGGGAGGCAGCAGUGAGGAAUCUUCCACAAUGGGCGAAAGCCUGAUGGAGCAACGCCGCGUGAAGGAUGAAGGCCUUCGGGUUGUAAACUUCUUUUAUGAGUGAAGAAUAUGACGGUAACUCGUGAAUAAGCACCGGCUAACUACGUG
RNAcentral lists this ribosomal RNA (450 nucleotides) under uncultured bacterium. RNAcentral describes it as "partial 16S ribosomal RNA". It matches the Rfam family "Bacterial small subunit ribosomal RNA", at positions 29 to 507 of the family's 1533-position model. The record is from RNAcentral.